This 1396-nucleotide ribosomal RNA is filed under the name uncultured bacterium. Its description in RNAcentral is "bacterial SSU rRNA". It matches the Rfam family "Bacterial small subunit ribosomal RNA", at positions 22 to 1399 of the family's 1533-position model. The record is from RNAcentral.
GCUCAGGACGAACGCUGGCGGCAUGCCUAAUACAUGCAAGUCGAACGCUGAAGCACUCUGCUUGCAGAGUGCGGAUGAGUGGCGAACGGGUGAGUAACACGUGGGAAAUCUGCCUAGGAGUGGGGGAUAACAUUCGGAAACGGAUGCUAAUACCGCAUAUCUUUUUGAACCGCAUGGUUCUUAAACGAAAGACGGCUUCGGCUGUCGCUCUUAGAUGAUCCCGCGGCGUAUUAGUUAGUUGGUGGGGUAAAGGCCUACCAAGACCAUGAUACGUAGCCGACCUGAGAGGGUGAUCGGCCACACUGGGACUGAGACACGGCCCAGACUCCUACGAGAGGCAGCAGUAGGGAAUCUUCCACAAUGGGUGAAAACCUGAUGGAGCAAUGCCGCGUGAAUGAAGAAGGUCUUCGGAUCGUAAAGUUCUGUUAUUAGAGAAGAACAAGUCAAGGAGUAACUGUCUUGACUUUGACGGUACCUAACCAGAAAGUCACGGCUAACUACGUGCCAGCAGCCGCGGUAAUACGUAGGUGACAAGCGUUGUCCGGAAUUAUUGGGCGUAAAGGGAGCGCAGGCGGUUGGAAUAGUCUGAUGUGAAAGCCCACGGCUUAACCGUGGAAGGUCAUUGGAAACUGUCCAACUUGAAUACAGAAGAGGUAAGUGGAAUUCCAAGUGUAGCGGUGAAAUGCGUAGAUAUUUGGAGGAACACCAGUGGCGAAGGCGACUUACUGGUCUGUAAUUGACGCUGAGGCUCGAAAGCGUGGGUAGCAAACAGGAUUAGAUACCCUGGUAGUCCACGCCGUAAACGAUGAGUGCUAAGUGUUAGGGGGUGUCCGCCCCCUAGUGCUGGAGUUAACGCACUAAGCACUCCGCCUGGGGAGUACGGCCGCAAGGCUGAAACUCAAAGGAAUUGACGGGGGCCCGCACAAGCGGAGGAACAUGUGGUUUAAUUCGAUGAUACGCGAGGAACCUUACCCGGGCUCGAACGGUGCAUGAAUAUACGAGAGAUUGUAUAGUCCUUCGGGACAUGUAUCGAGGUGCUGCAUGGUUGUCGUCAGCUCGUGCCGUGAGGUGUCGGCUUAAGUGCCAUAACGAGCGCAACCCUUGUCAUUAGUUGCCAUCAGGUCAAGCUGGGGACUUUAAUGAGACUGCCACCGUAAGGUGUGAGGAAGGGGGGGAGGACGUCAAAUCAGCACGGCCCUUAUGUCCGGGGCGACACACGUGUUACAAUGGGAGGUACAGAGGGCAGCUAUCCGGUGACGGAAUGCUAAUCUCCAAAACCUUUCUCAGUUCGGAUUGGAGUCUGCAACUCGACUCCAUGAAGGUGGAUUCGCUAGUAAUCGCGCAUCAGCCAUGGCGCGGUGAAUAAGUUCCCGGGCCUUGUACUCACCGCCCGUCA